UGUCUUCUAAGAAGAAAGAAAAACAAACGCGGGUAACGAUGUCUGAAAAAUCGACUAUGCUCUGGCUGAUUCUUGGCUCUCUCUCGCUGGUCGUGUCUGAUGUUGAAGCCAGGGGUCGACCACUGUACGGCCGAAUGCCAAUUUCCGCCUACUCCGGUCCCGGCCCCGCCUGGAGGAGUGCCGCUCCCGCUAGCCUGAUCGCCGAGACGCUGGGCGAGGAUAUAUGCAAUCACUGUUUCUGCCAAAGGAACACAGUUACAUGCGAUUUUCAGCGGAAUCAAACGCUCUCCGCAAAAUGGGAUUCCAAGUAUUUUGUCCCAGUGGCCAUAACUGCCAUGAGAAUACGCCUGGCCGGUGGGACACAAUUUGAGCUGCACAGCGAGUUCUUUCGCAGGAAUCGCGUAAAUUUCUUCGGCAUCGAGGGCCUGGGGAGCACGGAGAGCGAUCAGGUGGAGUUCACAAAGAACGCAUUUCAGAACAAUCUUGGUGGAUAUCCGGACAUACAAGUGCGCAAAGUCCAACGGGUGUUUAUACGCGAGGGAGCCUUCUCAGGCGGGGAGUUUGUGCUGCGGGUGGAGAACAGCCAGGAUGUGGUGGUAUUUCCACGUGCCUUUCAGAACAUGAACAUUUCCUGUACCUUUCGGCAAGUGGAGAAUCUCGAGAUGAAGGAGAAGACCUUCUAUCCCAACACGAACAGCAGUGCCAAGUCUUUGGUGAAUCUACGCAUCGAAGACACAGGAAUCGAACAGAUUGGCAGCUUUGAUGUCUCGAUGCGAAAGGUGAGCUUUGUGAGGGCCAGGAUCGGCAGGAUCCAGACGAACGCAUUCGAUGUGACCGAAAUCAAAGAGCUGUCGUUCGAGGACUGCCACAUUGGAACGAUCGAGGCGCGGGCCCUCACCAGUAAGCUCCUAAGCGAUCACGUGUCCUUCAAGGGCACGACCAUCGGAAUGAUUGACAGCGAGGCAAUCAUUGACUGCGGCAUCUCCCGACUGACGCUCAAGAACAACACCAUCAUGAAAAUCAAAUCAAAUGCCAUGCAAAUCUAUAGCGUGUUCGUUUUCAUUCAGGACAACACCGUACAGCACACGGAGCACAAUUGGCUGCGCGUAAAGGACGGCGAGCAUAUUGUCAUCGAGAACAACAGCUUUGGGCAUUUCAAUCAGUUCGGCUUGGAGCUGGCCAAGCUGUCGAAGCCCUUCAACUGCACCUUUGCCAACAAUCGACUGGAGGAUCCGGAGCAGAGUAGCCUGAAUUUCAGCAACUGCGAGGUUCAUCGCAUCACGGUGGGGCAUGACUGUAGCUGCGACAACGAAUGGAUGCACCGGCUCACCGAUCACGAUCUCGACUCGGAGAUAAUUUGUCCCCUGAUCGCCAGCGAUCGGGGAUGUUUCAAUGCCAGCAGUGUCAACAGGCGGCAUUUCGUACACGAAGCGUGCAGCGGUAGCGGACGCGCCAAUAAUUUGACGCGCCAUUGCACCAAUGGCCAGUGGUCGACACGAACCGCCAGCGAUGGCGGUGGCGGUAGCCUUACCAUCCGCCAGAUAGCUAGUGGGAUAGUGGUAAUCCUUGUCUUUGUGGUGGUGAUAGCAGGGCUUAUGGGCUGUUGGACGAAGGGAAAGAGCGGCAACAGCUCGACCUCGGGCUCUGGGAAUGUGGACCUGUGCAGCUUCACACAUGAUGAGCAGCGCACCAUGCUCAAGCAGACAGAGUCACUGCGUGACGGCGACAGGACUGGGAAGAGCAUCCGGAAGCUGGCAAGCGGAAAGUUGACUCGCGUCGAGUGCAAGAACCAGGUGAUCGAUACCAUCAAGGAGAUGCCCAAUGGGUCCUCCACUAUCAAGGAACUGCUCACCCAGCAUCUGUUGGACUGCCACGACACCAGCGGCAGCAACAGCCACAGCAACAGCAACAGCAACAGCAGCCGCACCAGUCCAACGGCCCCGGGAGAGGACUACUAUGCCACAUCGGCAAUGCCCCACGACAGGCCGACUGCGUCGGCGGCACCCAGUGCCCCCAAUUACGAGGAACCCAUCUAUGAAGAGCCGCAACAGCCGCUGUGUGAGCCGCUGCUAACAAGCGAAUAUUCGUCGCCCUCGGACCCGAUGACCGAGACUCCCGUCUACUCGGAACCCAUCAAUUCCACUGCCCCAUCGGCAUCCAGUAAGUACGGUUAUAGUUACAGCGUACUGCCCUCGUACGACUACAACCGUAACAGUAACAGCAGUGGCCGGCCCCGCCCACUCGAACCACAACCCCCUCGCACUAGUACUAGCACCCGUCCACAAAACCACCAGCAUCUCAACGAAUUCCAAACGACUGUAAACCUGUAAUCUUGGUAGUCCCGUAGUACCUGUAUUCAUGUAAUCCCCUAAUCGCAAAUACCAAUAUAUUUAUACUGUAUAUAAUAUGGAUAACCAAUAGAUAUCGAUAGAUUGAGUAUGUAUUAAGGUUGAUGGCACGUGUUUAAUCAAAAAAUAGCUUUAAAAACGUUAGUCGGAAAAAUAGAUAGACCUUACAAGCAGAGGAAGAACCGUUUGGAAGAAACCUAUAGGAGACACCCACAGGAAGUGGCGGGAACAGUAGGAACAGCUGAUGGACAUAUAAUAACAUAGGAUCCACAUGCACCCCACAAAGAAGCACAGGAUGAUCCACAAAUACCAUCCCUGCACUUUAUUUUAAGCAAACAAAGAUGUAUAAAUAUUUUAUGUAUUUAUGCAUGUACAUAUUUAUCCGCGCCCAAAGCAAGACACAUUUAAAUACACACACCUACACACACCUACACACACACACACACACACACACACACAAAGAAAAGGCAAUCUACACACACACGUAUGGAGCGCAUUAACCCAAGAUGAGAAUAACGAUAUACCCCCGGCCUAUCAGUAUGCCCUGCCCAUGCGACACCUGGGCACCCAAUUG
This is an RNA transcript of Drosophila persimilis, 2922 nucleotides long. RefSeq lists it as uncharacterized. NCBI's taxonomy places the organism in Eukaryota, Metazoa, Arthropoda, Insecta, Diptera, Drosophilidae. The transcript has 6 exons. The record is from RefSeq and is a predicted model, not a curated record.